GAAUGCUGACAUAAGUAACGAUAAAGCGGGUGAAAAGCCCGCUCGCCGGAAGACCAAGGGUUCCUGUCCAACGUUAAUCGGGGCAGGGUGAGUCGACCCCUAAGGCGAGGCCGAAAGGCGUAGUCGAUGGGAAACGGGUUAAUAUUCCCGUACUUGGUGUUACUGCGAAGGGGGGACGGAGAAGGCUAUGUUGGCCGGGCGACGGUAGUCCCGGUUUAAGCGUGUAGGCUGGUUUUCCAGGCAAAUCCGGAAAAUCAAGGCUGAGGCGUGAUGACGAGGCACCACGGUGCUGAAGCAACAAAUGCCCUGCUUCCAGGAAAAGCCUCUAAGCAUCAGGUAACAUCAAAUCGUACCCCAAACCGACACAGGUGGUCAGGUAGAGAAUACCAAGGCGCUUGAGAGAACUCGGGUGAAGGAACUAGGCAAAAUGGUGCCGUAACUUCGGGAGAAGGCACGCUGACACGUAGGUGAAGUGAUUUACUCACGGAGCUGAAGUCAGUCGAAGAUACCAGCUGGCUGCAACUGUUUAUUAAAAACACAGCACUGUGCAAACACGAAAGUGGACGUAUACGGUGUGACGCCUGCCCGGUGCCGGAAGGUUAAUUGAUGGGGUCAGCGCAAGCGAAGCUCCUGAUCGAAGCCCCGGUAAACGGCGGCCGUAACUAUAACGGUCCUAAGGUAGCGAAAUUCCUUGUCGGGUAAGUUCCGACCUGCACGAAUGGCGUAAUGAUGGCCAGGCUGUCUCCACCCGAGACUCAGUGAAAUUGAACUCGCUGUGAAGAUGCAGUGUACCCGCGGCAAGACGGAAAGACCCCGUGAACCUUUACUAUAGCUUGACACUGAACAUUGAGCCUUGAUGUGUAGGAUAGGUGGGAGGCUUUGAAGCGUGGACGCCAGUCUGCGUGGAGCCGACCUUGAAAUACCACCCUUUAAUGUUUGAUGUUCUAACGUGGACCCGUAAUCCGGGUUGCGGACAGUGUCUGGUGGGUAGUUUGACUGGGGCGGUCUCCUCCUAAAGAGUAACGGAGGAGCACGAAGGUUGGCUAAUCCUGGUCGGACAUCAGGAGGUUAGUGCAAUGGCAUAAGCCAGCUUGACUGCGAGCGUGACGGCGCGAGCAGGUGCGAAAGCAGGUCAUAGUGAUCCGGUGGUUCUGAAUGGAAGGGCCAUCGCUCAACGGAUAAAAGGUACUCCGGGGAUAACAGGCUGAUACCGCCCAAGAGUUCAUAUCGACGGCGGUGUUUGGCACCUCGAUGUCGGCUCAUCACAUCCUGGGGCUGAAGUAGGUCCCAAGGGUAUGGCUGUUCGCCAUUUAAAGUGGUACGCGAGCUGGGUUUAGAACGUCGUGAGACAGUUCGGUCCCUAUCUGCCGUGGGCGCUGGAAGACUGAGGGGGGCUGCUCCUAGUACGAGAGGACCGGAGUGGACGCAUCACUGGUGUUCGGGUUGUCAUGCCAAUGGCACUGCCCGGUAGCUAAAUGCGGAAAAGAUAAGUGCUGAAAGCAUCUAAGCACGAAACUUGCCCCGAGAUGAGUCUUCCCUGAGACUUUGAGUCUCCUGAAGGAACGUUAAAGACGAUGACGUUGAUAGGCCGGGUGUGUAAGCGCAGCGAUGCGUUGAGCUAACCGGUACUAAUGAACCGUGAGGCUUAACCUUACAACGCCGAAGCUGUU
This 1670-nucleotide ribosomal RNA is filed under the name Salmonella enterica. RNAcentral describes it as "partial 23S ribosomal RNA". It matches the Rfam family "Bacterial large subunit ribosomal RNA", at positions 1292 to 2925 of the family's 2925-position model. Lineage: Bacteria; Pseudomonadati; Pseudomonadota; Gammaproteobacteria; Enterobacterales; Enterobacteriaceae. The record is from RNAcentral.